AACGCACAUUGCGCCCUCUGGCAAUCCGGAGGGCAUGCCUGUUCGAGCGUCAUUAUCAUCCCUCAAGCCGUUCGGGCUUGGUGUUGGACCGCCGGCCAAGACCCCCCGGUCUGGCCCGUCCCAAAGCGAACGCACGGCGUCCACGCGGACCCCAGUACCCUGAGCUUUCCGUGAGCACGUACUGGCCGUGGAAGUGUGGGCCCGUCUCGUUGACAGACCUUCUGAAAGUUGACCUCGGAUCAGGUAGGGUUACCCGCUGAACUUAA
Molecule: unclassified non-coding RNA, 266 nt
Filed under: uncultured fungus
Lineage: Eukaryota; Fungi
Description: partial contains 5.8S ribosomal RNA, internal transcribed spacer 2, and large subunit ribosomal RNA
Source: RNAcentral